Molecule: ribosomal RNA, 340 nt
Filed under: uncultured bacterium
Lineage: Bacteria
Description: bacterial SSU rRNA
Rfam family: Bacterial small subunit ribosomal RNA
Source: RNAcentral
GACGAACGCUGGCGGCGGGCCUAACACAUGCAAGUCGAACGCUCGUAGCAAUACGAGAGUGGCAGACGGGUGGGUAACACGUGGGAACCUUCCCUAUGGUUCGGAAUAGCUCAGGGAAACUUGAGGUAAUACCGGAUAAGCCCUUCGGGGAAAGAUUAUCGCCAUUGGAUGAGCCCCGCGUCGGAAUUAGCUAGUUGGUGAGGUAACGGCUCACCAAGGCGACGAUCCGUAGCUGGUCUGAGAGGACUGAUCAGCCACACUGGACUGAGACACGGCCCAGACUCCUACGGGAGGCAGCAGUGGGAAUAUUGGACAAUGGGCGCAAGCCUGAUCCAGCCAU